UUGUUUAUCAAAAACAUGUCCUUUUGAUUUAGUAUUUAAGGUCUGACCUGCCCAGUGAUUAAUUUAACGGCCGCGGUAUACUGACCGUGCAAAGGUAGCAUAAUCAUUAGUCUUUUAAUAGAGGGCUGGAAUGAAAGGUUUAACGAGGAAUUGACUGUCUCAUAUUAUUUAUUUUAAAAUUUAAUUUUUUAGUUAAAAAGCUAAAAUACUGUUGGAAGACGAGAAGACCCUAUAGAAGUUUACUUUAUUUAUUAAUUAUUGUUUUUUGUNUAUUAAACAAUUUUUUAGAAUAUAAAGUUNUGUUGGGGUGACAUUAAAAUUUAUUUAACUUUUAAUAUUUUAUUCAUUAAUUUAUGUUUUUUUGAUCCAAAAUUUUUGAUUAUAAGAUUAACUUACCUUAGGGAUAACAGCGUAAUUUUUUCGGAGAGUUCAUAUCGAUGAAUAAGUYUGCGACCUCGAUGUUGAAUUAAGAUAAGAUUUGGGUGUAAAAUUUCAAUUUUCUUGGUCUGUUCGACCAUUAAAUUCUUACAUGAUCUGAGUUCAACCGAGA
This 550-nucleotide ribosomal RNA is filed under the name Gerris marginatus. RNAcentral describes it as "partial 16S ribosomal RNA". It matches the Rfam family "Bacterial large subunit ribosomal RNA", at positions 1800 to 2624 of the family's 2925-position model. The record is from RNAcentral. Lineage: Eukaryota; Metazoa; Arthropoda; Insecta; Hemiptera; Gerridae.